This is a long non-coding RNA of Erinaceus europaeus (western European hedgehog), 2244 nucleotides long. RefSeq lists it as uncharacterized. The transcript has 2 exons. Lineage: Eukaryota; Metazoa; Chordata; Mammalia; Eulipotyphla; Erinaceidae. The record is from RefSeq and is a predicted model, not a curated record.
UUUUUUUGUAAGGAGGUGGUUUCCACGGGUGCUGGGAAAUGGCUUUCUUUCCUUUCUUACAGCAUAAUGACAUGCACAUUGUGUUGUCAGAGUCCAGAUGUGUUAUUUACUCUCCUAGGGGCAUCAUUUGACUUUAGGUGGAGCGUGUGGAACAGAGGAGCCUUCCUGGCUGGGGGGGGGGGGGGGGGGUUGGCUUGGUGGGGGAGCACACAAGCCCCCUGCUGGCAUGAGGUGUGAGGUUUGGUCCCUCGUACCACAUCUCUGGAGCAGUGUUGUCUCUCUCUUUUUCUCUCUUUUCUUUCUUUUUCCUUUUUUCAAAUUUUAUUUAUUAUUAUUAUUAUUAUUAUUUUUAAUAGAGCACUGCUCAGCUCUGGCUUUUGGUGGUGCAUGAGAAUGAACCUGGGACUUUGGAGCCUCAGGCUCAGUGAGAGUCUGUUUGCAUAACCAUUAAUGCUAUUUGCCCCCACCCUUCUGUCUCUCACUAAAUAAAUGAGUCUAAAAAAGAAUAUUGAAGUUGAGAAAUUAACUGAGCUUGGUCCCACAGUGCUCCCUUGUAAGUUUCUUCCUGUCCUUUCCCUUGUCCUAAGUUUUUUUCUGUCCUUUCCUUGUCCUCACCUAGUGGGUUGAGGGUUUCUUUCUAGUUAGAAAAGUACCAGGAAAAAAAAAAAAAGGCCACCAAUCUGGAAACACUAAUUACGUGCUAUUUGAUGGGGUUCUUUCAAGUGUCUUUAAACCCUCUUGUGGGGGGCUGGGCCAUGGGUCACCCAUUGGAGCACACACAUUGCCAUGUGCAAGGACCCAGGUCAGAGCCUCUGCUCCCCACCUACAGGGGGACACUUCAGGAGUAGUGAAGCAGGUCUGCAGGUGUCUCUUUCCCCUCCCUAUCUUCUCCCCUUUUAAUCACUGUCCUAUCAAAUAAAAUAGAAACUAAACAGCAGCAGAACUUAUUGGUGAAGGAAUCAAGUUAUGCCUCUGGAGGGACUGACCUGUAUGCCUCCCCAGCCAGAGACCCUUCAGAGAUGUCUCCCCAGAUUUGAGCAGGUAGGGACUUGCUUUCUUAAACCCAGUUACUGCUUAGGUGAAACUCUGGGUGAGUGGAGUCUGAAAUCAUGCUUAUGAGAAGUUGGGACAUUUAGAAAGUAGGGGUUGGACAAGUCACUGAGUGGAAUGUGGACUUCUGAAGUAGAAAGGAAAGGUGGGUAUUUCAGAGGAGUAGAAAGAAAAAUGGAGGCAAAGAGUUGCUUCUUGUGCACACAGAAGAAGCAUGGCGUGCCCACAAGUGCACAGCCAGGAUGCCAUCUUCACAGAUGCCUUUCAGGUUAGUGCUCACUCUCCUCAGUGCCUUCCAGGAGCGAGUGGCUGUAAGGCAGUUGGCUCAGUGGGCAGGUGAUGUCUGGUAGAAACAAGUCCAAGCCAUGCAGACUAGUUGGUAGAUGGUGUUUCCCCAAGGAAAAUGCCCACCUUCCUGUGGUGUUCAGUUUUCUGGCCAGUCCGGGUGGGGUCUGGGGACUUCUUAGCUCAGCAGCCAGCUUCAUACGCGUUUCUCAGAGACUUUGUAUUUCUCUCAUUUGGCAUCGGGAUAACCCCUAACCCAUCAUUUGCUGGUGAAGUAUGAUAUUUAUCUUGAGACAGAUGCUUGUCUAGGUUCUGUAAUAUAUUUCAUUUUUCUGUUUUGGAAGAUGCUUGUUCAGAGAGAAAAAGAAGCAGCAAGAGAGGGAGGAGGAAGAAAAGGAGGAGGAACAGAAAAGGGCUGAAGGGCUUUGCUGGGGCCCUGAGACUGGACGCCCCUCACGAGGAGGCCACGUGGAAGCAGAGGUGACAGAGGACAGACAGGCCGUUAUGAGGCUUUGAAGAAUGUGCACAGCUCACUGUUACACACAGGAGUGUCUCCCAAGUUAUUGACCGGGAGCCACACUGGUUGUGAAUCCCACAGAAAGCUUUAUCCCGCUCACAUAUCAUUCAGUGUAAUUAUGGGUGGCGAUUAAGACCAUACAUUAAGUAGAGACCAACUUGUGAACGUUGUAUACUUCACAUGACCUUCAGAACAUAUUUAGAGCCGACACUUGGGGUUUGAUACUAGCUCUGCAGUAGCAUUUUGCAGCCCCUCUUGGUGGUUGAUGGCAGCCCUAUAGAUUUUACAGGUCUGAAUGAUUAUUAAUUAGUAAAGAGACUUCCCUUGAGGCACUUUUGUAUUUAUUUUCCCCCCCAGUGUUUAGAAACGUUAAGUAUGUCUUCUAGUAUCUU